RNAcentral lists this long non-coding RNA (3472 nucleotides) under Sus scrofa (pig). RNAcentral describes it as "lncRNA (ENSSSCG00000058893.1)". Lineage: Eukaryota; Metazoa; Chordata; Mammalia; Artiodactyla; Suidae. The record is from RNAcentral.
GCAUGUAGGAAGCAUCGCUGUGCGCCCGGCCCUGGAGCAGCCAGUGCAACCAGACCUGGCCUCUUCCUCCCCGGAUGGCCUUCCUGAUCUGCUGGGGAAAAUAGGUACUGAAGACAUGGCUGCAAACUACAUACUGCAAGGUGAUAAAUGCUCUGAUGGAGGCUGUAAAGUGCCCUGGGAGGAGAGGAGGUAUUUGGGAAGCUUUGGUGAAGGAAGAAUCUUGGAGAUGGAUCUUGAAAGGUAAGGGGAGAAGUUCCUGUUGUGGCUGAGCAGUAAUGAACCCAACUGGUAUCCAUGACGAUGCGGGUUUGAUCCCUGGCCUCACUAAGUGGGUUAAGGAUCUGGCAUUGCCUUGAGCUGUGGUGUAGGCCAGCAGCUACAGCUCUGAUUCCACCCCUAGCCUGGGAACCCCCAUAUGCCAUGGGUGCAGCAUUAAAAAGACAAACAAAAAAAAAGAUGAGAGUUUUCCAUAUGGAUGUGGCAGAGAGCAAAAGUGGGCUAAGGAGUGACACCUGGGUGACAGGCACUCCUGGGUCUGGAGGUGGACAGAGGGCCCAGGGUCUGUCAUUUGGCGGGGGUCAGGGGGAGAGUGUGCUGGGGGAGAGGGCUGGACAGUCGGCCGGAAAGCAAGGGAAGCUGCUGUGGAGAAACCCCAGGGACCCUGGCCCUGUUAUUGGAAACCUUCUGGGGGGGCCUCAGGGGCGCCGGUCCUUCCCAUUAAAAUGCAAACAGAACAUGUCCUGGGACCACCACGAGUGCUCUGUGGGCAGCAGAGCCUGCGGUCCAGCCCAUGCGCAGCUUGUAGUCAGGGAGGGGACUGUACACACACACACAGGGGAUGCUUCUACUAUUUUACUCAGUUACUGCUGACACUGAACUCAGAAUCUUCUUAUGGAAAACAAAACGGGGUCAAAAUAAAACAGAGACACACCUUGGAGGACUCCGAACUAGAGGAGACGGCCAUGGUCUAGAACCAGUCUCUGGAAGGGCGAGAAGCUGAUGCAGGUCAAAUUCCUCACUAGGUUCUGGGCUGCCCCAGAUCACGUAGCUUGCAGGCUUUCUCGGUUAGAGUUUAAGCCACGAAGGCCAGCCCCGGCCUGCCUUUGUCACCACUGACCCACAAACAGGUGCCUUCGGGCACAGCGGGCUGGCGCUUUGAUUCAAGGUAGAGCCUGCAUCCUGGGCUGGAGCUGAAGCCCCGUGUGGGAUCCAGAGGCUGAUCCCACAGCAGCCGUGCCGCCCAGCUCCCUCCUGGCUUUACAUUUAUGCCGUUUGUAAUUACAGAGCCACGCAGCAGACCCUCCCAGACUGAGCCAGAAAUAGUCAGCUUUUUAAUUUGAGUUUUGUUCCCCUGAAGGAAAGCCUUGGGACCUCCUGCCUGCAACUUGUGGGCAGGGGCUGGGGGCAGAGGGGGAGGGGCUAAGUGGGGCCUGGAGCUUGGAGCUGUAGGGGAUCCUGUGACCUUGAACAUCUCACUCCAGCCUGACUCCGCGCCAUCAAGAAGGGCGGCCUCGGAUUUCCCAUGGUGGUGCAGUGGAAACGAAUCCAACUGGGAACCAUGAGGUUGUGGGUUUGAUCCCUGGCCUCGCUCAGUAGGUUAAGGAUCUGGCAUGGCCGUGAGCUGUGUAGGUCAAAGACACGGCUCAGAUCUGGCGUUGCUGUGGCUCUGGCUUAGGCUGGCAGCUGUAGCCCUGAUCAACCCCUAGCCUGGGAAACUCCAUGUGCUGCACCUGUGGCCCUAAAAAGCAAAUAAAGGGGGGGGGCAGCCUCAGCAGGCCUCAAGUUCCCGUCGUGGCUCAGUGGCUAACGAAUCCGACUAGGAACUAUGAAGUUUCGGGUUCGAUCCCUGGCCUUGCUCAAUGGGUUAAGGAUCUGGCGUUGCCAUGAGCUGUGGUGCAGUUUGCAGAUGUGGCUCAGAUCCCGCGUGGCUGUGGCUGUGGCUGUAGGCCGGCAGCUGGAGCUCUAAUUUGACCCCUAGCCAGGGAACCUCCAUAUGCCACGGGUGCAGCCCUGGAAAAGGCAAAAAGACAAAAAAAACCCAAAAAACAAAAAACUACAUCCUCAACAGCCCUUCACUCCACACCUGUACACUUUUGCAGGGUCUCUGAGCUCUCCUCCAGUUCUGGGCUUUCAUCUUUUCUUGGGAUGGGAAAAUUUCCUCCCCUCCCUCCCACGAAGCCAGCACCAGCCUGUGGCUGUCUGCUGUGGGGUGGGGGUGGGGAUGUCUCCAGUUUCCUCAACAGUCCUUCUCUGUCCCAUCUGGCUUCCUCCUUCUCCCCCACCCCCAGCCACUAGUCCUUUCCCGGAGCUGGUCCUUGGCGCCUGCGCUCAGCCCAGCCUUUGUCUUUCCAGGAAAGCGCCUGGCCAGCUCUCCUCUCCCGCUGGUCCCUUCCACUGUCAAGGCCCCACACACCUGACCACCAGCAGCUUCCUGGCUGUGGCCUCUGGAUCUCCCCCUGGCUUCUCAGACCGACCCAGUCUUGUCCCCAUGCUCCCCACCUGCCUGUCCUUAUUCCUUCUGAGCGUCAAUUAAUGGAGCCACUCCUGCCUGGUCUGCGCCUUGGGGUCCAGGGAAGGGUGGGAACAUGGGGCCUUGCCUUAGAAGGGAAGGACCCUUCUCCUGGCUAAUAGGAGCUUGGUCCUCAGGUCUCUGUGCAUUGUGCAGCUUUCUUGCUCCAAAGGAUGGGAACAGAUACUUUUUCUUCUUUGUUUUUUGGCCUUGGUGAGCAGGGUUGGGGGCUGGGUGCAGUGCAUGGAGAUCCUGGGCCAGGGAUCAGAUCCCAGCUGCAGUUGCAACUUACAUCGUAGCUAUGGCAACGCUGGCUCCUUUAACCCACUGUGCUGGGCCUGGUAUCAAACCUGUGUCCUGGCCCCACACAGUGGGUUAAAGAAGCUGGCUGCAGAGACACUGCCAAUCCUGUUGCACCACAGAAAGAACUCCAGACCCUUGUUUUUGAAACUCCAGGCUUUCUAUCCCUCAGGCCCAGGGUCCAGAAGUGUCUCUGUCAUGAGCUGGAGACAGAGCCAGGCCAAAGCCAGGUCUCCAGACUCCUGCCCCUGGGGUCUGCCUGAGCACCUCUGCGUGCCAUGCCCUGUCCCCAACCCCCACUGUUGUGGCCUCUGCAAGCUCUCUGGGGCCACACCAAGCCAGGCACCCCUCCUGUCAGGAGAUGCCUGGGGGGCAGGCACAGGGGUCUCUGGGAGUUCCUGGAUGGCCAAAGCCCUUCUUGGUCCCAGGGAGACAGAACACUUAGGAGCUUAUUUGGAGUUCUUGUUGUGGCUCAGCGGGUUAAGAACAUGACUAGUAUCCACGAGGACGUAGAUUUGAUCCCUGGUCUCGAUCAGUGGGUUAAGGAUCCGGUGUUGCUGUGAGCUGUGGUGUACAACACAAAUGUAGCUCGGAUACGGCUGUGGCUGUGGGUAUGGUGCAGGCCGGCAGCUGUAGCUCCGAUUCGACUCCUAGCCUUGGAAC